CGAUAUGCCUUGGGUAGCUGUAAGUAAGCGAUGAUCCAGGGAUUUCCGAAUGGGGGAACCCAACAGGUAAUACCUGUUACCCACAUCUGUUAAGGAUGUCAG
RNAcentral lists this ribosomal RNA (102 nucleotides) under Shigella flexneri. RNAcentral's name for it is "partial 23S ribosomal RNA". It matches the Rfam family "Bacterial large subunit ribosomal RNA", at positions 69 to 177 of the family's 2925-position model. The record is from RNAcentral. Lineage: Bacteria; Pseudomonadati; Pseudomonadota; Gammaproteobacteria; Enterobacterales; Enterobacteriaceae.